GGCCUCGAGUCUUGGGCAGCUGGUGGGAGGUCGCCCUCUAAUGGUUGGCCCUUGAGAGCCGCGGCAGGCCCCUCCGGGACGUGCUACCCGGAUCUACAGCGCGUGGUGGCCGGCAGCACUCUAGGUCAUCAUCCCUCAGAAGAAUGGUUAGAAGGUUACUACUGCUCCAGAAAAUAACGUAGAGGGGGAAAAUCUCUGCCUCCCGUGUUUGCUGAGUAACUGGUAUCACCACACACAUAGGGAACCACGUGGGCCAUGUUGCCAAAAGACAGGAGUAGCACCAAGCUAAAGCACCACGAGACAGGAAAUGAGAACUACAGGAUGAAGGCAAUUUGGUUACGUGAAUUUUAAAUCUGCUGCUGAUGAGGAUAAAGCUGUGGAACUUAGUGGCAUGAAGGUCCUUGGGUAUGAAAUUAAACUGAAGAAAACAAAAGGAAAGGAAACAAAGUGGGAAAAUGAAAGUGAGAGCAAGAAAGCCACUUAUUUCAAGAAAAAUGAGAGCGAGCUUAUUUCUUUUUGGAGGUAAAGAAUGUUCCUACCUGUUUGAGAUGCAAACAAAGUCUGUCUGUGUCAAAGGAAUAUAAUCUAAGACACCAUUAGGAAACAAACCAUAGUAAGAACCAUGAUGGAUAUACAGAAAAGAUGCAUGAUAAAAGACUUAACAAACUGAAAAAAGGACUGAAACUUCAACAUGAUUUGCUUUUGAAUGGGAAUAAAACAGUGAUGUUUCUAUGAAAUGUAGUUAUGUAUUAAAUGAGAAAAUUCCCCAGUGAAUCAAAACCUUUUACAGAUGGUGAGUUUAUAAAAUAAUGUCUGUUGAGUGCUGCAGAAAUCAUGUGCCCUGAACAGAGACAAGCAUUUGCCAGUAUAUGACUGGUAAUAUGUUGCACAACAUGUGGACAACAUGACUGAGGACUUACAGGACAAGUUGCAAGAAAAAGCUAAAUCAUUUGUGGCU
Long non-coding RNA from Manis javanica (Malayan pangolin), 958 nucleotides. RefSeq lists it as uncharacterized. The record is from RefSeq and is a predicted model, not a curated record. Lineage: Eukaryota; Metazoa; Chordata; Mammalia; Pholidota; Manidae.